This 257-nucleotide long non-coding RNA is filed under the name Lathyrus oleraceus (garden pea). RNAcentral describes it as "Pisum sativum (pea) long non-coding RNA (PSAT_LNC037292)". Lineage: Eukaryota; Viridiplantae; Streptophyta; Magnoliopsida; Fabales; Fabaceae. The record is from RNAcentral.
AACUAGGUUUUCUUGAAGCAUGAUUUGACUUAAGCAUAUGGAUGAUUCGAAAUAAUAAUUUAUUUGAAAUCAAGAUUUUUGCAUUGGCUUUGUAAUUUGAAUCAAGAAAGUGUGUGAUUUGAAUCAUCAAACACUUUAAUAUGAAUCAUAACAAUGUAUGACUCGAAUAAUGAUUAGACAAACUUUUUGAAAACAACAAUGAUUUGAAUCAUGUGAUUUCUUGAUUCAAAUAACAUGUAUCCAUUCAUGAUCCAAAU